UCCGAAUUGGUGUAGUGGCUAACAUUUGACGCUCUCAGCUAGAUCAUAUCUGUGAUCUUGUGGCAGCCCCGUCAAGCCCGGGGUUCGAUUCCCCGAUUCGGAG
Xylaria bambusicola is the source of this 103-nucleotide non-coding RNA. NCBI's taxonomy places the organism in Eukaryota, Fungi, Ascomycota, Sordariomycetes, Xylariales, Xylariaceae. The record is from the annotation of a RefSeq genome assembly.